This is an RNA transcript of Lineus longissimus, 822 nucleotides long. RefSeq lists it as uncharacterized. The record is from RefSeq and is a predicted model, not a curated record. Lineage: Eukaryota; Metazoa; Nemertea; Pilidiophora; Heteronemertea; Lineidae. The transcript is spliced from 3 exons.
AUGACCUGAGCAGAAACCCAGUCCCUUUUAUACUGCUACAGUGGCGCCACCUGAGCUAUGACAUAAUCAUGAUGGUCAACAGGUAGUGGAGACAAGAUAAAAGCCAUUGCAUUGCCCACCUCAAGGCCAAACAACUAGUAGAUAAGAAAAGAAAAGCCAGCAAGGGAAAAGCAAGCAAGGCGAAGGGAGACUAUUGCGCAGCUGAGAGAAUAGACAACUACGACCCCAAAAACAACACGUAUUACAUAAAGUGGCAAGGAUAUGAUGCGUCCCACAACUCAUGGGUAAAAGCGGAAGACGUAACUUCUCCUCUGUCUCAUCUCUUCUUACAAAGAAAAAUUAGGUAAAUCAUGAUUGAAAGGAUUAUGGCUGUGUGCUCUAUGCAGUUGAUGUUGUAGUGGUUGUGAGUCAGGCUGAUGCAGCAGUUUCUUAGAGGUAGUGCCCAAUUCGAACAACUGUAGCUUAUCACAUAAUUAUCGUUUAUCAGAAUUGUGGAGUCAAAAGGAAGGAUUGACAAUCAAUUUAUUGAAAUUCCUUCAGAUGAUACAUUAAAAGAUGUCAUAAAACUCACCUGUCCAUUCAAAAGGCUUUUGUAUUGCAAUUACAGAACGGUUUCUAUUCAAUAAAAACACUUCGCUGGUGAGAAAAUUGUUGGGAACACUUCAAAGCAGUGGAAGUCUUUGGUUCAAAGGCAUCUCAAACCAGUAUGAGGUUGCAGCAUGAAUGCAGUGUAAUUGAGAUUUGCUUGUUUUCUUCGCCUUAAUUCCAUAUAUUUUGGUAGUGUACCCUUGAAGAAAAUGAUAUGAUGUCGUGUGAUACUAA